UGAUGUAGUACUGAAGAUGUCUUUGAUAUUAGAAAUAUGCCUCUAUUUAGAUUUGAAAGUAAAAUUAAAAUCAAAUAGUAACUUGGAAUUGAAUAAAAAUAAUAAAUAAAUAAAAUUAAAAAAAUCAUUAAUAAGUACAAUCAAUCAAAACAUGUUUGUUUUUAAUAUCAUCAAAAAAAAUUUGGCAAUUUAAAUUUUGGAAGGAAUUGUCAAAGGAAAAUAUAAAAUAAAAUUAUUUUGUUGAUAAUAACAACCUUAUUCGUGUCUUUAAACCUUAUCAAUGUUGCACCUUAGAACCUUUAUAAUAUUACC
RNAcentral lists this long non-coding RNA (312 nucleotides) under Physcomitrium patens. RNAcentral describes it as "long non-coding RNA (PPAT_LNC013486)". Lineage: Eukaryota; Viridiplantae; Streptophyta; Bryopsida; Funariales; Funariaceae. The record is from RNAcentral.